UACGUAGGGUGCGAGCGUUAAUCGGAAUUACUGGGCGUAAAGCGUGCGCAGGCGGUUCGUCGUGUCUGAUGUGAAAUCCCCGGGCUCAACCUGGGAAUGGCAUUGGAAACUGGCGAACUAGAGUGUGGCAGAGGGGGGUGGAAUUCCGCGUGUAGCAGUGAAAUGCGUAGAGAUGCGGAGGAACACCGAUGGCGAAGGCAGCCCCCUGGGCUAACACUGACGCUCAGGCACGAAAGCGUGGGGAGCAAACAGG
RNAcentral lists this ribosomal RNA (253 nucleotides) under uncultured bacterium. RNAcentral's name for it is "partial 16S ribosomal RNA". It matches the Rfam family "Bacterial small subunit ribosomal RNA", at positions 524 to 776 of the family's 1533-position model. The record is from RNAcentral.